UGUUUGAAGUUUAAAAUGGCGGCGCGAAGGGCGGGGUGUAGUAGUUAUAGAGUUGAGUGAGAAAAGCAGGUGUCAGCGGUUGAAGGAGAGCUCCUGCUUGCAUGGGAAGGUGUAGGCAUGCUGCUGAGCGCUGGGAGUUACCCUCAGCUGUGUGUCUUCUGGCUCCUUGGCUUGCUUCAGGCCUUUGUGUGCUGAAGUGGAGCUGCCUCUCCCUUCUGGGGCUGUGCCCCUCGGGGUGUGUGGAUGCCCCACAGAAGCAGCUCCCCGAAGCAGAGGUGGAUGCAGCUAUCGAUCAUGCUGUGGUUUCUAAUCAGCAGCACCCUGGCUGCUUCUGCUCCUGUCCUCAUUAGAGCAACUACCAGUGAGUCACUGGGUGCCAGCUGCACAUCCACUAGCAGACGUGAAUUUGCAGGAGUUGAGAAAAAUGAAAGGCUUUCUUCUGGAGUGCAGGUUUCCUAAGCAGACGUCAUGGCCAUGCCCUACACCUUUAAGGCAGAGGGCCUUUGAAUCCCCAAAGUGUUAAAUCUCAGCUUUCCACGGAUGGAUUCAUCAUGGUAAACCUACUUCAGCACCCAAGAAAUUAUAGAUCUGAUAAAGCCUUUCUGGGUGUGGGGUUUUUAUGUCUUCCUUUCUAACAAAAUGCUCCAGUCUUCCUUCUCUCAGCAUGCCUUAUAUUUACCUGCUUACAAG
Molecule: long non-coding RNA, 690 nt
Organism: Numida meleagris (helmeted guineafowl)
Lineage: Eukaryota; Metazoa; Chordata; Aves; Galliformes; Numididae
Exons: 3
Source: RefSeq, a predicted model, not a curated record